Molecule: long non-coding RNA, 1197 nt
Organism: Parambassis ranga (Indian glassy fish)
Lineage: Eukaryota; Metazoa; Chordata; Actinopteri; Ambassidae
Source: Ensembl
AGAAGCAGAGGUGCAUGCUGGGAGCUCCGGCCCAGCCGUGAGUGGUUGCCGUGGAAGCGGCUGAGUCACGGCGUCACGUCCUCCCUGCAGCCGAAUCCAAAGAAGCCAAAAAGUCUUUUUAGGGAAAGUCUGAGCUGCUGCUUGUGGUGCGUUCACUGGACUCCUCACAGCGUGGGAGUGUUGGUCUCUCUGCUCCUCCUGCUCCUCCCUCCUCCUCCUCCUCUCUCCUCCUCCUGCUCCUCCCUCCUCCUCUCUGCUCCUCCCUCCUCCUCUCUACUCCUCCUGCUCCUCUCCUGCUCCUCCUGCUCCUCCUCCUCCUCUCUGCUCCUCUCUGCUCCUCCCUCCUCCUCUCUACUCCUCCUGCUCCUCUCCUGCUCCUCCUCCUCCUCCUCUCUCCUCCUCCUGCUCCUCCUGCUCCUCCUCCUCCUCUCUGCUCCUCCCUCCUCCUGCUCCUCCUUCUCCUCCUCUCUCCUCCUCCUCCUCCUCCUCUCCUCCUCCUGCUCCUCCUGCUCCUCCCUCCUCCUCCUGCUCCUCCCUCCUCCUCUCUCCUCCUCCUCCUCUCUCCUCCUCCUGCUCCUCCUGCUCCUCCUCCUCCUCCUCUCUCCUCCUCCUGCUCCUCCUCCUCCUCCUCCUCCUCCUCCUCUCUCCUCCUCUCUGCUCCUCCCUCCUCCUCUCUCCUCCUCUCUCCUCCUCUCUGCUCCUCCUGCUCCUCCUGCUCCUCCUGCUCCUCCUGCUCCUCCUCCUCCUCCUCUCCUCCUCCUCCUCCUCUCUCCUGCUCCUCCUGCUCCUCCUGCUCCUCCUCCUGCUCCUCCUGCUCCUCCUCCUCCUCCUCUCUCCUCCUCCUCCUCCUCUCUCCUCCUCUCUGCUCCUCCCUCCUCCUGUCCUCCUCCUCCUCCUCCUCUCUCCUGCUCCUCCUGCUCCUCCUCCUCCUCCUCCUCCUCCUCUCUCCUCCUCUCUGCUCCUCCCUCCUCCUCUCUCCUCCUCCUCCUCCUCUCUCCUGCUCCUCCUGCUCCUCCUCCUCCUCCUCCUCCUCCUCUCUCCUCCUCUCUGCUCCUCCCUCCUCCUCUCUCCUCCUCCUCCUCCUCUCUCCUCCUCUCUACUCCUCCUGCUCCUCCCUCCUCCUCUCUCCUCCUCCUCCUCCUCUCUCCUGCUCCUCCUGCUCCUCCCUGUUGUUCAGUGCUGUUCAUGGAGCUCUGA